GUAACUUUGGUGUAAUGGUCAGUAAUCGAGCCUUCCAAGCUCGAGAUCGGGGUUCAAUUCCACAGAGUUGCA
Molecule: transfer RNA, 72 nt
Filed under: Hypoxylon crocopeplum
Lineage: Eukaryota; Fungi; Ascomycota; Sordariomycetes; Xylariales; Hypoxylaceae
Description: tRNA-Gly
Rfam family: tRNA
About the family: Transfer RNA (tRNA) molecules are approximately 80 nucleotides in length. Their secondary structure includes four short double-helical elements and three loops (D, anti-codon, and T loops). Further hydrogen bonds mediate the characteristic L-shaped molecular structure. tRNAs have two regions of fundamental functional importance: the anti-codon, which is responsible for specific mRNA codon recognition, and the 3' end, to which the tRNAs corresponding amino acid is attached (by aminoacyl-tRNA synthetases). tRNAs cope with the degeneracy of the genetic code in two manners: having more than one tRNA (with a specific anti-codon) for a particular amino acid; and 'wobble' base-pairing, i.e. permitting non-standard base-pairing at the 3rd anti-codon position.
Source: RNAcentral